GCGUUGUCCAAAAAUCACUAAGAUUAGAGAGGUGUAUACCGGUGGAUAUAGUGGGUUUCUAGGUGGAAUCGAGAGAAAACAAUUGUUGGAGGAAAGUUUCCAAGGUCGUUAUCACAUAGAGAAAUGAUGCAUCGGAACUGUAAACUUCCAAUAGCUUACAAGAGGUUGGAAUCGAGUUGCUUUAGAACGAUUAUGCUUCAUCUGCUCAUACUUGUCAAGGAUGUAUGAACCAAGCUGAAAUCUUCAUGUCAAAAAGGGAGUAUUCCGAUCGAAGAAAAAUUUACAAUCGGACUCCGAUCAACAACGUUGUCCAAAAAUCACUAAGAUUAGAGAGGUUUGUUUCUUCUUCCUUAAUUCUCGUAAUUUUGUUGUAUAUUGUUCUUUGGUGGUUAUGUCUUGGCCAAUUUGAUGCUCUUAAUUCAUAAAUCUUUUGGUGUUGGCAUGCUUCUUCUUUUUAUCUAAUAAUUUAUCAUGUGUUCAAUUACUUGCUUUUAAGUUUAGAGUGGACUAAUUUUUUUGGGUAUAAUUAAGAUUAGCUCACUAAAAUAUUUGAUGACUUAUUCUAACAAAUUAGGUUUUGAUCAUUGUUGACAUGAAAAAAAGAGUUUGGGCUUAACUUUUCAUUUCAACUUGUUUUAUAUUAGUGAAAAAUGCUCUAAGUUUAUACUCUAAGCGAGAGCACGCAUAGUUUGUCGUUUUAAUUGAGGUUAGCAAUUUAAAAUGGCAAGGUCGUGUUUAUGCGUGUUGAACCAUAUUAUCCUCUUAAGAAUAUAUAUUUUUUGAUUCAACGAAAGGGUUGACUCAACCUUUAGGUGCGAUACACAAGGAGAUGUCACAUAUAUGCAUCUUGAUAAGCUUAUAUUGAAUCUGAGGUUGUAACUUUGCAUCUUAGUUAGCACUAAUAAAAUUCAACAAUAGAAGUGACCCAUAGACAAAUAAUUUAUCCAAGAUUGAUUUAGUCAAGUAUAAAUUGACAAAAACGACUGUGCUAGAAUUAAAGGACUCAGGGGUGCCUCUAACCUUCUCCAAGUCAACAAAAUUUCUUACCUUGUCUUUUAUUUUCAUAGAGCAAUAGAAAGUGCCAUUUCAUUUUUGAAUUAUAGUGACUCCGCUUGAGUUAUGGUGUUUUACGUCACCUUUUUGAACUCCUGAUUAAAAGGAAAUGAUUCUUUUUGUUGGUCUAUGAAAACAAAAGAUCGUGUAAGAAAUAUUGUUGAUCAGAGAUGGUAUGAGGACGUCCCAUGAAUCUCUUGGUUCUGACACGAUCACCUUUGUCAAAAUUAUACUUGACUUAAAUAAAUAUUGGAUAAAUCAUUUGGCUAUGAUUCACUUCAAUUGUUGUAUUUUGUUGGUCUUAACUAAGAAACAAAGUUGCGAUUUCAACUACGAUAUACACUUAUCAAGAUGCAUAAACACGACCUAUCCUUAUGUAUCACACCUGAAGAUUGAUACUCGUUUGUUGAAUCAAAUAUUAACACUUUUAAAGAGAAUUUGGAUCUAGAUGCGUAAAUGCAACUUUAUCGUUUUAUUAAUUAUUUUUAUCUAAGACGCAAAAUUUUGAUCUUAGUUAAGACGAUAAAUUAUGCAUGCUCUGGCUUAGAGCUUAAUGUUAGAGCACUUAUUUCAUUAAUCUAGCAAUUACAAAUGAAAACUUAAGCUAGAACUUCUUUUUUGUCAUUUCACCAAUGAAUCAAACCCCAAUUAGUGAACUAAUCCUAAUUAAAUCUAAAUUAAUUAAUUCACUUUAAACAAAAGUUUAAAAGCAAAUAAUCCACACAGAAUAAUUUAUUAGCUAUAAGCAUGUCAACACUAACAGAUCAAUGUAUUUGUGGAUCUUGUAGGCGUGUCAAAAUGAGUUCAAAUAUAGGUAAUCCGCUUAAUCUGUCUAGAAUUUUAUGGGUUGAGCUCAAGAGAGUAUGAUUCGGGUUCAACCUCAACUCAUUCAAGCAUUAACCCAUUUUAAAAUAAGGGAAAAAUGUCAAAAAUGUUUUUAAACUAUGUGAAAUGAACAAAAAUGCCAUCCGUUUAAGUUUUGGUCCAAAAAUAUUUUUGUCGUCAAU
This is a long non-coding RNA of Solanum tuberosum (potato), 2060 nucleotides long. RefSeq lists it as uncharacterized. NCBI's taxonomy places the organism in Eukaryota, Viridiplantae, Streptophyta, Magnoliopsida, Solanales, Solanaceae. The record is from RefSeq and is a predicted model, not a curated record. The transcript has 4 exons.